UCCCUGGCUUUUUUCAAAGCCACCCUCAUCUCGAGAAAUGCGUCC
Molecule: non-coding RNA, 45 nt
Organism: Aphanomyces astaci
Lineage: Eukaryota; Oomycota; Saprolegniomycetes; Saprolegniales; Verrucalvaceae
Source: Rfam